This 300-nucleotide ribosomal RNA is filed under the name uncultured Planomicrobium sp. RNAcentral's name for it is "partial 16S ribosomal RNA". The stretch from base 52 to 300 matches the Rfam family "Bacterial small subunit ribosomal RNA", at positions 547 to 795 of the family's 1533-position model. Lineage: Bacteria; Bacillati; Bacillota; Bacilli; Caryophanales; Caryophanaceae. The record is from RNAcentral.
GGUAACUAGGGGCCGGGGGGCGCGCUAAAGGGGGGGGGGCAGGGGGUGUGCGGAUUUAUUGGGCGUAAAGGGCGUGUAGGCGGCCUGGAAGGUCAGCUGGGAAAACGCGAGGCUCAACCGCGAGACGUCGGUUGAAACCACCUGGCUAGAGUCCGGAAGAGGAGUGUGGAAUUCCCGGUGUAGCGGUGAAAUGCGCAGAUAUCGGGAGGAACACCAGUGGCGAAGGCGGCGAUCUGGGCAGAUACUGACGCUGAGGUGCGAAAGCGUGGGGAGCAAACAGGAUUAGAUACCCGAGUAGUC